UACGUAGGUGGCAAGCGUUAUCCGGAUUUAUUGGGCGUAAAGAGGACGCAGGCGGUCUUUUAAGUCUGAUGUGAAAGCCUUCGGCUUAACCGGAGUAGUGCAUUGGAAACUGGGAGACUUGAGUGCUGAAGAGGAGAGUGGAACUCCAUGUGUAGCGGUGAAAUGCGUAGAUAUAUGGAAGAACACCAGUGGCGAAAGCGGCUCUCUGGUCUGUAACUGACGCUGAGGUUCGAAAGCGUGGGUAGCAAACAGG
RNAcentral lists this ribosomal RNA (253 nucleotides) under uncultured bacterium. Its description in RNAcentral is "partial 16S ribosomal RNA". It matches the Rfam family "Bacterial small subunit ribosomal RNA", at positions 524 to 776 of the family's 1533-position model. The record is from RNAcentral.